This 435-nucleotide ribosomal RNA is filed under the name uncultured bacterium. Its description in RNAcentral is "partial 16S ribosomal RNA". It matches the Rfam family "Bacterial small subunit ribosomal RNA", at positions 29 to 507 of the family's 1533-position model. The record is from RNAcentral.
AACGAACGCUGGCGGCAUGCCUAACACAUGCAAGUCGAACGAUUGCCUUCGGGUGAUAGUGGCGCACGGGUUCGUAACGCGUGGGAAUCUGCCCUUAGGUUCGGCAUAACAGCUGGAAACGGCUUCUAAUACCGGAUGAUAUCGCGAGAUCAAAGAUUUAUCGCCUGAGGAUGAGCGCGCGUUUGAUUACGUAGUUGGUUGGGUAAAGGCCUACCAAGCCGACGAUGCAUAGCUGGUCUGAGAGGAUGAUCAGCCACACUGGGACUGAGACACGGACCAGAAUCCUACGGAAGGGAGCAGUGGGGAAUAUUGGACAAUGGGCGCAAGCCUGAUCAAGCAAUGCCGCGUGAGUGAUGAAGGCCGUAGGGUUGUAAAGCUCUUUUACACGGGAAGAUAAUGACUGUACCGGGAGAAUAAGCCCCGGCUAACUCCGUG